GGGAUAACGUAGGGAAACUUACGCUAAUACCGCAUACGACCUACGGGUGAAAGCGGAGGACCUUCGGGCUUCGCGCGAUUGAAUGAGCCGAUGUCGGAUUAGCUAGUUGGCGGGGUAAAGGCCCACCAAGGCGACGAUCCGUAGCUGGUCUGAGAGGAUGAUCAGCCACACUGGAACUGAGACACGGUCCAG
This 192-nucleotide ribosomal RNA is filed under the name uncultured Lysobacterales bacterium. RNAcentral describes it as "uncultured Xanthomonadales bacterium partial 16S ribosomal RNA". It matches the Rfam family "Bacterial small subunit ribosomal RNA", at positions 140 to 334 of the family's 1533-position model. The record is from RNAcentral. Lineage: Bacteria; Pseudomonadati; Pseudomonadota; Gammaproteobacteria; Lysobacterales.